This is a long non-coding RNA of Theobroma cacao (cacao), 510 nucleotides long. RefSeq lists it as uncharacterized. Lineage: Eukaryota; Viridiplantae; Streptophyta; Magnoliopsida; Malvales; Malvaceae. The record is from RefSeq and is a predicted model, not a curated record.
GUUCAAAAAAAACAUAUUCUCUUUCUUCAAAACAGCACUGUUUCACUCCUCUUAACCCUAGGAAUAAAAUCUUUUUUUUUUUCUAAGUUUUUUUUACCUCAUUUCCUCCCUCUUCUAGCGGCUGCUCUCUAAAAAAUUUCUCCUUUUCCAAUCGUACUCUUCUCCCUUAGCCAAAUCAACCACCAUUUUCCUUUUCCUUUCCUUUCUCUCUCACAUUCUCUCUCUUAAAGAGUCGUUGGCAUAUUGGCAAGCAAAUCUACUUUUUUGAGCCUUUUCAGUUCGAGGAUCUUCAAUUGGAGGUGAACUUUGCACAAUUGAUGUUGAGGCAGAAGAGGGAUUCAAAUGAAAUUUAUGAUGUAUUCAUGUUGUUGUAUGUUUAGGGUUGAAUAUGAUGUUUGAUGCUACACUUGUGUUAUUUUUAUGUUGUAUUGUCGUUGAUUGUAAUUACGGAAUUGUUUUUAAUUGUUAGUUAAUAUUAUAUGAAUUAAUGUAGAACAUUUUUUAUUUGAA